RNAcentral lists this ribosomal RNA (1545 nucleotides) under Escherichia coli. RNAcentral's name for it is "partial 23S ribosomal RNA". It matches the Rfam family "Bacterial large subunit ribosomal RNA", at positions 1 to 1581 of the family's 2925-position model. Lineage: Bacteria; Pseudomonadati; Pseudomonadota; Gammaproteobacteria; Enterobacterales; Enterobacteriaceae. The record is from RNAcentral.
GGGUUGUGAGGUUAAGCGACUAAGCGUACACGGUGGAUGCCCUGGCAGUCAGAGGCGAUGAAGGACGUGCUAAUCUGCGAUAAGCGUCGGUGAGGUGAUAUGAACCGUUAUAACCGGCGAUUUCCGAAUGGGGAAACCCAGUGUGUUUCGACACACUAUCAUUAACUGAAUCCAUAGGUUAAUGAGGCGAACCGGGGGAACUGAAACAUCUAAGUACCCCGAGGAAAAGAAAUCAACCGAGAUUCCCCCAGUAGCGGCGAGCGAACGGGGAGGAGCCCAGAGCCUGAAUCAGUGUGUGUGUUAGUGGAAGCGUCUGGAAAGGCGCGCGAUACAGGGUGACAGCCCCGUACACAAAAAUGCACAUAUUGUGAGCUCGAUGAGUAGGGCGGGACACGUGGUAUCCUGUCUGAAUAUGGGGGGACCAUCCUCCAAGGCUAAAUACUCCUGACUGACCGAUAGUGAACCAGUACCGUGAGGGAAAGGCGAAAAGAACCCCGGCGAGGGGAGUGAAAAAGAACCUGAAACCGUGUACGUACAAGCAGUGGGAGCCUCUUAAUGGGGUGACUGCGUACCUUUUGUAUAAUGGGUCAGCGACUUAUAUUCUGUAGCAAGGUUAACCGAAUAGGGGAGCCGAAGGGAAACCGAGUCUUAACUGGGCGUUAAGUUGCAGGGUAUAGACCCGAAACCCGGUGAUCUAGCCAUGGGCAGGUUGAAGGUUGGGUAACACUAACUGGAGGACCGAACCGACUAAUGUUGAAAAAUUAGCGGAUGACUUGUGGCUGGGGGUGAAAGGCCAAUCAAACCGGGAGAUAGCUGGUUCUCCCCGAAAGCUAUUUAGGUAGCGCCUCGUGAAUUCAUCUCCGGGGGUAGAGCACUGUUUCGGCAAGGGGGUCAUCCCGACUUACCAACCCGAUGCAAACUGCGAAUACCGGAGAAUGUUAUCACGGGAGACACACGGCGGGUGCUAACGUCCGUCGUGAAGAGGGAAACAACCCAGACCGCCAGCUAAGGUCCCAAAGUCAUGGUUAAGUGGGAAACGAUGUGGGAAGGCCCAGACAGCCAGGAUGUUGGCUUAGAAGCAGCCAUCAUUUAAAGAAAGCGUAAUAGCUCACUGGUCGAGUCGGCCUGCGCGGAAGAUGUAACGGGGCUAAACCAUGCACCGAAGCUGCGGCAGCGACGCUUAUGCGUUGUUGGGUAGGGGAGCGUUCUGUAAGCCUGCGAAGGUGUGCUGUGAGGCAUGCUGGAGGUAUCAGAAGUGCGAAUGCUGACAUAAGUAACGAUAAAGCGGGUGAAAAGCCCGCUCGCCGGAAGACCAAGGGUUCCUGUCCAACGUUAAUCGGGGCAGGGUGAGUCGACCCCUAAGGCGAGGCCGAAAGGCGUAGUCGAUGGGAAACAGGUUAAUAUUCCUGUACUUGGUGUUACUGCGAAGGGGGGACGGAGAAGGCUAUGUUGGCCGGGCGACGGUUGUCCCGGUUUAAGCGUGUAGGCUGGUUUUCCAGGCAAAUCCGGAAAAUCAAGGCUGAGGCGUGAUGACGAGGCACUACG